ACUCCUACGGGAGGCAGCAGUGGGGAAUAUUGCACAAUGGGGGAAACCCUGAUGCAGCCAUGCCGCGUGUGUGAAGAAGGCCUUGGGUUGUAAAGCACUUUCAGUAGGGAGGAAGGUAGUGUAGUUAACACCUGCAUUAUUUGACGUUACCUACAGAAGAAGCACCGGCUAACUCCGUGCCAGCAGCCGCGGUAAUACGGAGGGUGCGAGCGUUAAUCGGAAUUACUGGGCGUAAAGCGCAUGCAGGCGGCCUGUUAAGUCAGAUGUGAAAGCCCGGGGCUUAACCUCGGAAUUGCAUUUGAAACUGGCAGGCUAGAGUCUUGGUAGAGGGGGUUAGAAUUUCAGGUGUAGCGGUGAAAUGCGUAGAG
RNAcentral lists this ribosomal RNA (368 nucleotides) under uncultured bacterium. Its description in RNAcentral is "bacterial SSU rRNA". It matches the Rfam family "Bacterial small subunit ribosomal RNA", at positions 335 to 695 of the family's 1533-position model. The record is from RNAcentral.